RNAcentral lists this ribosomal RNA (510 nucleotides) under uncultured bacterium. RNAcentral describes it as "bacterial SSU rRNA". It matches the Rfam family "Bacterial small subunit ribosomal RNA", at positions 791 to 1306 of the family's 1533-position model. The record is from RNAcentral.
UAGUCCACGCCGUAAACGAUGGAUACUAGUUGUUGGGAUUAAUCUCAGUGACUAAGCGAAAGUGAUAAGUAUCCCACCUGGGGAGUACGGUCGCAAGAUUGAAACUCAAAGGAAUUGACGGGGCCCGCACAAGCGGUGGAGCAUGUGGUUUAAUUCGAUGAUACGCGAGGAACCUUACCAGGGCUUAAAUGUAGAUUGACAGGACUAGAGAUAGUUUUUUCUUCGGACAAUUUACAAGGUGCUGCAUGGUUGUCGUCAGCUCGUGCCGUGAGGUGUCAGGUUAAGUCCUAUAACGAGCGCAACCCCUAUCUUUAGUUGCUAACAGGUUAAGCUGAGGACUCUAGAGAGACUGCCGGUGCAAACCGUGAGGAAGGUGGGGAUGACGUCAAAUCAUCACGGCCCUUACGUCCUGGGGCUACACACGUGCUACAAUGGUAUAUACAGAGGGGCAGGCUACUUGGGCAACAAGAUGCGAAUCUCGAAAGUAUAUCACAGUUCGGGAUUGGGAGU